Long non-coding RNA from Erigeron canadensis, 227 nucleotides. RefSeq lists it as uncharacterized. The record is from RefSeq and is a predicted model, not a curated record. The transcript has 3 exons. Lineage: Eukaryota; Viridiplantae; Streptophyta; Magnoliopsida; Asterales; Asteraceae.
AGGGUUUGUCAUUCAUGGACCUAAUGUAUGUGAAACUGUCAACUGCUAUCUCAAGUUUGGCAAGGCAUUUGGAACAGGCGGCCAGGAUUGUAAAACUGGAGCAGGAAAUGGAUAAAUCCAACUCUGUUAGAAGUGAUGUGCGUCAUGAAUCGGUGAAUGGUGUCUGUGAUAAUCUUUCCCAACUAGGCUACAACUUGGAUUCACUAAAUCAAAUGGUGUCUUGUAUG